AGACCGCCAGCUAAGGUCCCAAAGUCAUGGUUAAGUGGGAAACGAUGUGGGAAGGCCCAGACAGCCAGGAUGUUGGCUUAGAAGCAGCCAUCAUUUAAAGAAAGCGUAAUAGCUCACUGGUCGAGUCGGCCUGCGCGGAAGAUGUAACGGGGCUAAACCAUGCACCGAAGCUGCGGCAGCGACACUAUGUGUUGUUGGGUAGGGGAGCGUUCUGUAAGCCUGUGAAGGUGUGCUGUGAGGCAUGCUGGAGGUAUCAGAAGUGCGAAUGCUGACAUAAGUAACGAUAAAGCGGGUGAAAAGCCCGCUCGCCGGAAGACCAAGGGUUCCUGUCCAACGUUAAUCGGGGCAGGGUGAGUCGACCCCUAAGGCGAGGCCGAAAGGCGUAGUCGAUGGGAAACAGGUUAAUAUUCCUGUACUUGGUGUUACUGCGAAGGGGGGACGGAGAAGGCUAUGUUGGCCGGGCGACGGUUGUCCCGGUUUAAGCGUGUAGGCUGGUUUUCCAGGCAAAUCCGGAAAAUCAAGGCUGAGGCGUGAUGACGAGGCACUACGGUGCUGAAGCAACAAAUGCCCUGCUUCCAGGAAAAGCCUCUAAGCAUCAGGUAACAUUAAAUCGUACCCCAAACCGACACAGGUGGUCAGGUAGAGAAUACCAAGGCGCUUGAGAGAACUCGGGUGAAGGAACUAGGCAAAAUGGUGCCGUAACUUCGGGAGAAGGCACGCUGAUAUGUAGGUGAAGUCCCUCGCGGAUGGAGCUGAAAUCAGUCGAAGAUACCAGCUGGCUGCAACUGUUUAUUAAAAACACAGCACUGUGCAAACACGAAAGUGGACGUAUACGGUGUGACGCCUGCCCGGUGCCGGAAGGUUAAUUGAUGGGGUUAGCGGUAACGCGAAGCUCUUGAUCGAAGCCCCGGUAAACGGCGGCCGUAACUAUAACGGUCCUAAGGUAGCGAAAUUCCUUGUCGGGUAAGUUCCGACCUGCACGAAUGGCGUAAUGAUGGCCAGGCUGUCUCCACCCGAGACUCAGUGAAAUUGAACUCGCUGUGAAGAUGCAGUGUACCCGCGGCAAGACGGAAAGACCCCGUGAACCUUUACUAUAGCUUGACACUGAACAUUGAGCCUUGAUGUGUAGGAUAGGUGGGAGGCUUUGAAGUGUGGACGCCAGUCUGCAUGGAGCCGACCUUGAAAUACCACCCUUUAAUGUUU
This 1203-nucleotide ribosomal RNA is filed under the name Escherichia coli. RNAcentral's name for it is "partial 23S ribosomal RNA". It matches the Rfam family "Bacterial large subunit ribosomal RNA", at positions 1029 to 2215 of the family's 2925-position model. The record is from RNAcentral. Lineage: Bacteria; Pseudomonadati; Pseudomonadota; Gammaproteobacteria; Enterobacterales; Enterobacteriaceae.